Molecule: long non-coding RNA, 977 nt
Filed under: Triticum aestivum (bread wheat)
Lineage: Eukaryota; Viridiplantae; Streptophyta; Magnoliopsida; Poales; Poaceae
Description: long non-coding RNA (TAES_LNC002435)
Source: RNAcentral
CCCGGUCCUGGCCUCGCCGGCCACCACUUGGCCCAUGCGGUCGCGGCCACUCCCCACUUCGCCCCCAGCGCCGCCGGCCCCUGUCACUUUCCCCGUCGCUACCGUAGGCCAGUCGGCGCCCGUCACCACCUCGCCGCCGGCCCCGGCCUCGCUGGCUGCCAUCUUGCCCGCCGGCCCCGACCUCAUCGCCCGUCGACCCCGACCUCGUCGCUCGUCGCCACCGACGGCCUCCCCGCCCCGUCGCUCGUCGUCCCAGGCAGCCUCCGUGCCUCGUCGCCCCCGCCGGCCUCCGGCGGUCCCGGCCCCGUCACCCCCGCAGGCCUCCACCGGCCUCGACCUCCGGCACCGGCCCGGCCUUGAGGAGCGGCGGCAGCUCCUCAGGCAUCAAUGGUGGCGUCGGUGUGCACUAUUCUUGGAGAAAGAAAGGAGUAGGGAGAGGUGUGCGGCUGCUGGUUGCUGCUGCUCCGGCCACCACGGGCACAGGAGAAAGGACAGGGGACGCUCGCUGGGAGGCGGUGGCAUAGAUCGAACUCAAGAUGGCUGCACGUGUUAGAUCUCGUGCUGCUAUUGUGAAAUAUAUUGUCUAAAUAGAGUAAUGAUGUAUUCUGUUUUGCCUUGGAUCAGCAAGUAGUGAUGUAUUAUGUGUAAAUAUAGUAAUUUUGUAUUUAAAAAUUUGUUCAUUCAUCAUUGAUCUUCGAACAAAGUGUCGAUGGAUACUGUGGCGUUUGUUGUUGUCUGGUAGUUACUUGUAGCCUUUGCACUUAGACUGUUAGUUAAGAUUACUAGUCGCCAACCCGUGCCAUUGCACGGGCUAGUAAGUUCAUAUUCUGUACUUCUUGUUUUAUACGAAGAUUUCGCUUCCUUGCAGGGCUAAUUGUGUGUUCAUUGUAAUUGUUUUAUUGGACUUUUUUUAUAAGUUGUUGUGUUAAAUUAGUUUUCAAAAGUUGAUGCUAUAUUCAGAAAGAUAAUAUUGAAAU